CCUACGGGGCGCACCAGUGGGGAAUUUUGGACAAUGGGCGAAAGCCUGAUCCAGCAAUGCCGCGUGCAGGAUGAAGGCCCUCGGGUUGUAAACUGCUUUUGUACGGAACGAAAAGACUCUCUCUAAUAAAGAGGGUUAAUGACGGUACCGUAAGAAUAAGCACCGGCUAACUACGUGCCAGCAGCCGCGGUAAUACGUAGGGUGCGAGCGUUAAUCGGAAUUACUGGGCGUAAAGCGUGCGCAGGCGGUUAUGUAAGACAGAGGUGAAAUCCCCGGGCUCAACCUGGGAACGGCCUUUGUGACUGCAUGGCUAGAGUGCGGCAGAGGGGGAUGGAAUUCCGCGUGUAGCAGUGAAAUGCGUAGAUAUGCGGAGGAACACCGAUGGCGAAGGCAAUCCCCUGGGCCUGCACUGACGCUCAUGCACGAAAGCGUGGGGAGCAAACAGGAUUAGAUACCCCAGUAGUC
Molecule: ribosomal RNA, 465 nt
Filed under: uncultured bacterium
Lineage: Bacteria
Description: bacterial SSU rRNA
Rfam family: Bacterial small subunit ribosomal RNA
Source: RNAcentral